RNAcentral lists this ribosomal RNA (193 nucleotides) under uncultured Azoarcus sp. RNAcentral's name for it is "partial 16S ribosomal RNA". It matches the Rfam family "Bacterial small subunit ribosomal RNA", at positions 338 to 523 of the family's 1533-position model. The record is from RNAcentral. Lineage: Bacteria; Pseudomonadati; Pseudomonadota; Betaproteobacteria; Rhodocyclales; Zoogloeaceae.
CCUACGGGAGGCAGCAGUGGGGAAUUUUGGACAGUGGGGGCAACCCUGAUCCAGCCAUGCCGCGUGAGUGAAGAAGGCCUUCGGGUUGUAAAGCUCUUUCAGACGGAAAGAAAACGCCCCUCCUAAUACGGGGGGUGGAUGACGGUACUGUCAGAAGAAGCACCGGCUAACUACGUGCCAGCAGCCGCGGUAA